AACUCUUAGAUAAUUUCCAAAAUAAUAUUAGAAAUUAGUAUCAAAAUUUCCAAGGUAUUACAUUAUAUCUCCUUAAUUACAAUAACGUCAAAAGUCAAGUAAUAAUAAAGUCGCUCACAUGAGCUUAAAAACAACUUCCAUAAAAUACAAAUAAAUGUACAUAAUCUACAACCCAGCUCCUAAGCCACUACCUCAACCCUGCUGAUCAUCACCUGCAGGUCUAACCCCUACACCAUGAAUUAGUGCACCGGGUUAUAAACACAAACCUGAUAAGCUUAAAAAGCUCGUAUGAGUAACUCUCAAAAUAAAACUCAACCAUUCCAACAUCACAUAAGAUAAAACUGGAAAUUCCUACAUUAAUAACUUAGUUCAGGAAUCCCUUAAAAGUAAGAGAAUUCAAAAGAAAUAAUUAAGGGAACACAACAAUUCAAAAUCAAUCAAAUCAUAAAUGAAAUCCUGCAAAAAGUCUAGUUCAGGAAUUCCAUUAAAAUCACACGAUUAAAAUUAGAGAAUCUCUUGCGGAUAAGCAUAGUUCAGGAGAUACUCAAAGUAAGAAAUUUAAAUGACAACAUAUAAGAACAUCACACAAUCAUUUCACAAUCCUUACUUAUGAGUUCGUCAACGCGUAGUCAUCCCUUAUAAGUAACUAGAGAAACUCGUACUCAUGGGUUUGUCAACACAUAGUCAUCUCUCAUGAAGUACCGACAGACUAGAGCUCUAUACUGACCGUAACCAAUCACCCGGCGAAGGCUUGGUUCCCGGUCCACCAUGAAGGCUCCUAAUCUAAUGCACACAAUCACCACUAAGGCACACACCCACAUUAAGGCACACAAUCAACACUAAGGCACACAUCCACAACUAAUGCACACAAUCACCACUAAGGCACACAUUCCACAACGAAUGCACACAAAAUCACCACUAAGGCACACAUCCACAACUAAUACACAAAUAACCACAUCAAUAAAACCAGACAAGCGACACCUCACUAUAAUAUACCUUUUCACAAAGAGAUAUAUCUACACACACAUAGAUUUUCUCAUAAGAAUAAUCUACCAAAAACUAAAGAUAUUAUAGUCAUUAGAACCUUAAAAAUAAUCAUUUAAAAAGGAAAACUUGUUUUCUCUUACCUAUGAGCCGUUGGCGAUCAAGCUCAUAUAUUUUAAAACAAACAAAAAGGAAAACAUAAUUUUUUUAAAAUUAUUAUCAUCAUCAAAAUCAUCAUAAUCAUCAAUAAUAAUCCUCAUCAUAAUUCAUCAUCGUUUUAUCAUCAUCACCACCAUCAUCAUCAUUUUAUCAUCAUAAUCAUUAUCAUCAUCACAAUCCUCAUCAUAAUAAUCAUAUCAUCAACAUUUUCAUCAACAUUUUCAUCAACUUUAUAACCAUAAAUAAAUAGGUCACAAAGUGAACCUUGGUGAGAUUUUACUCACCUAAAUAAUCCUGCUGCGUCUUCAACACAACACAAGAGCCAAGCUUAAAUAUCAACUCCACAAGCUACCUAUAAUUACACAAUUAAUAACUUACUAACUACUUAACAAAAAGAACAUUUCACCCUUAACAAGCCUUAACCCAUGAUUUCCCCAAAAAAAAGACAACCUUCUUCCGAGACCUCCCAAGGUCGUCGAACACUUAACCACAUUCCCCCGCUGCCAAACUUUGGAUUCUCAUAACUCACACUUCGCACAAGUCUACUAUAACAUAGAAUCUAACAAGCAAAACUUACUCAAAACUUACUCAAACUUUACCUAAUCUCAUAAUAUAUCAACAUGCUCGCAUCAACAAGAACUAGCUAACCAAAACAAGAACUAGCUAACCAAAGAAACUGAACCUACACACCCUAACUGACGCACUGCCACGCGCCACCACAAACGGCGACUAGUGGGCCCCACGCGCCCCUUAAGAACAUCACAAUUCGGACAAACUUCCAACACCAAAAAAGUAGCUUAGAACAAGGUGAGCAGUUCUUAUACCUGGGGUCAAGAUCAAUUGGGUCAAAAUUAGGUCCGAAACAUUGCUGCAAACUGCAAUUUGAGGUUUGAAAACUCAGCUUCAAGUUUAUAACUAGCACAAACACACUCAGAAAGAAUGGACAACGACACUUACCUACUACCGCUCCUCGUCGCCGUCGAACUCAAGAUUCCGGCCAAAACAGCCUUGCUAGUUUCAUCACGUUAGCUCGAGCUUGGCGCCACCCACCCAACUAUGGAGUCGUGAGGAGGGGACAACCACAACAAGGUACGUCUCGUCGCCAGACGUCGUCGGAGGAGAGGAGAGAAUUCCGACCAGAGAUGCAAUGGCUUCUGGCUUCGCUGCACUGCCGUUGCUUGUAGUCGACGGGGAAGAUUAGCACGGUUGUCUAGGUGAGGGCGAGGCGGAGCUAACGGAGGCGGUUUGGUGGCCAGCCGUCGCCUAACGGCAGAGAUCGCUCCGGCGUGGGUUAAGCUGCGUGCGCAGGUCGGGAGGAGGAGAGAGAAACUGAAGAGGCUUGGCAGCUAAUUUUUAGGGUUUUCCAAAAUUAAAACCCCCCACUUUCUACUUAUACUAAAAAUUCCCGAAAGCCACAACACUUCUGCUGACUAUAACUUUCGCAUACGAAGUCUGUUUUACGCGUGCCACAUGUCUACGAACUCGUAUCGUCGUGCUCUACAACUUUUGUGAAGGAAGUUUUUAGAGAAACCCAAUAGAUUAGAAAGUCAACUCUUGACCCUUCAAAAUAAAGCAUUUUCAAGAAAUAAAUCACUUGAAAAAUUCCCAAGAAUAUAUUAUAAACUAAUAUCGAAUUUCCGGGGUAUUACAAAAGCCGCUCUCCCUCUCUGUAUGCACACUCCUGUUUUAGGAAUAUAUUUU
Molecule: long non-coding RNA, 2844 nt
Filed under: Fragaria vesca (wild strawberry)
Lineage: Eukaryota; Viridiplantae; Streptophyta; Magnoliopsida; Rosales; Rosaceae
Description: long non-coding RNA (FVES_LNC001829)
Source: RNAcentral